CUGAUUUGCUUAAUUGCACCACAUGUGUUUUUCUUUGAAACAAACUUGCUUUGGCGGUGGGCCCAGCCUGCCGCCAGAGGUCUAAACUUACAACCAAUUUUUUAUCAACUUGUCACACCAGAUUAUUACUAAUAGUCAAAACUUUCAACAACGGAUCUCUUGGUUCUCGCAUCGAUGAAGAACGCACGCGAAAUGCGAUACGUAAUAUGAAUUGCAGAUAUUCGUGAAUCAUCGAAUCUUUGAACGCACAUUGCGCCCUCUGGUAUUCCGGAGGGCAUGCCUGUUUGAGCGUCGUUUCUCCCUCAAACCGCUGGGUUUGGUGUUGAGCAAUACGACUUGGGUUUGCUUGAAAGACGGUAGUGGUAAGGCGGGAUCGCUUUGACAAUGGCUUAGGUCUAACCAAAAACAUUGCUUGCGGCGGUAACGUCCACCACGUAUAUCUUCAAACUUUGACCUCAAAUCAGGUAGGACUACCCGCU
RNAcentral lists this unclassified non-coding RNA (479 nucleotides) under Candida albicans. RNAcentral describes it as "sequence contains 18S rRNA gene, ITS1, 5.8S rRNA gene, ITS2, 28S rRNA gene". The stretch from base 140 to 294 matches the Rfam family "5.8S ribosomal RNA". The record is from RNAcentral. Lineage: Eukaryota; Fungi; Ascomycota; Pichiomycetes; Serinales; Debaryomycetaceae.